AACUAGAUACCCUCGGUAGUCCACGCCGUAAACGACUGAGUGCUAAGUGUUAGGGGGUUUCCGCCCCUUAGUGCUGCAGCUAACGCAUUAAGCACUCCGCCUGGGGAGUACGGUCGCAAGACUGAAACUCAAAGGAAUUGACGGGGGGCCCGCACAAGCGGUGGAGCAUGUUGGUUUUAAUUCGAAGCAACGCGAAGAACCUUACCAGGUCUUGACAUCCCGCUGACCGCUAUGGAGACAUAGUCUUUCCCGUUUCGGGGUACGAGCGGUGACGAGGUGGUGCAUGGUUGUCGUCAGCUCGUGUCGUGAGAUGUUGGGUUAACGUCCCGCAACGAGCGCAACCCUUCGUUCCUUAGUUGCCACUCUAUUCUAGUUGGGUCGACUACGUAAGGAGAC
RNAcentral lists this ribosomal RNA (396 nucleotides) under uncultured bacterium. Its description in RNAcentral is "bacterial SSU rRNA". It matches the Rfam family "Bacterial small subunit ribosomal RNA", at positions 776 to 1149 of the family's 1533-position model. The record is from RNAcentral.